UCCAAGUAAAUCAUCUACUAUAACAGAAGGUGUUUCUAAAUCUCAUACUAAGUCAUUACCUCAAACAAGGGAGAAGAAUGUGAUUCUUUUACCUAAAAAGAAGCAGAUUUUUUGUUCUUCUCUUACUCGAGAAGUUCUUGACUUGAAAUUGGAGAAAAUGAAGCAUGACCAACAUAAGAAAAGAUAAAAAAAAAAAAAAAGAAGAAGAAGAAGAAGAAAGUGGUGUGCUUGUAAUAUCGAGAUGAAUUUAUGAAUUUGUGAAUUUAAUGAAAGAGACAAACUUGUACAAUGAUUAUUGAUUAAAGAGGCUAUAAAAAUUUUAUUUUGUGAA
Non-coding RNA from Arachis ipaensis, 331 nucleotides. The record is from RefSeq and is a predicted model, not a curated record. Lineage: Eukaryota; Viridiplantae; Streptophyta; Magnoliopsida; Fabales; Fabaceae.